Long non-coding RNA from Brassica rapa (field mustard), 440 nucleotides. RefSeq lists it as uncharacterized. The record is from RefSeq and is a predicted model, not a curated record. NCBI's taxonomy places the organism in Eukaryota, Viridiplantae, Streptophyta, Magnoliopsida, Brassicales, Brassicaceae.
UCCUGUUAAAACCUCGGAUUUUUUUUUUUAAUUUUGUAAACAUCCGACCAAGUAAUAAGCUCUGACAUAUGUAUAAAUAUUUGUGUCAUUACAAGAAAAAGAUUAGAAGAGAAGUGAAGUUACCGGUGUUGUCCUGACCAUCAUCAACUUCUUCUGUUGUUAUAGGAUGCUUCUUCCUCGAGAUGUAACCUGUUUAGAACAUUUAAACAAUCUCAGUUUUUUCUCUUACGCGAAAAUCAAUUUUCAUUUAAAAAAAUAAUAAUAAUAAUAAAAAAAUAAGUAAACAGAGGCAAACUUACCCAUGUUUGCCUGAUCCUCGUUGUUGGUGUGUGUGUCACAGGAAGUGGAUCCUGAACCAGAGAGCAUCUCUGUGUGGGGCUAAUACCUUCUUCUCCAGGCUUGUUCCUUGUUGAUGCUUCGAGAACAGGAAUCGGCUACAA